UGUCACAGCUCACAACAACCAAAAUUAUAUAACAAAAUUGGACGAGUGGUUAUAGAAGUCAAUAAUAUAAAAGAGUUGAAAAGCUGGUAUGGGUUUUCUUCUUCCCACAUCGGUAAGUGAGUAGUAUCUAAAGCCCUUAAUAUAGCGCUCUAUCCGAGAUAUCAUUGUCCCUUCGGGGACAUCCGAUAAAAUUGGAACGAUACAGAGAAGAUUAGCAUGGCCCCUGCGCAAGGAUGACACGCACAAAUCGAGAAAUGGUCCAAAUUUUUUUUCCCCUUUCACGGCUAGGAAUUUAUCAGAAACAGAUGAUUACAUCCAUAUUUGUGGUAGACAAUUAAUUGUUUUGUUUGCUAGUUAAGUACCAUCUUCUGUUAUGAAUGAGAUUUUCAUGAUGAGAUCUAAAGUUAUUUAAUGCCAUAGUUAUUGCUAAUGAUGGAUGAUGCCAUUGAUGUUACAGAGUAACAAAGUUGCUUAAUUUUGUGUUUUAUAUACAAGUAUAUAUAUAUAUAUAUAUGUGUGUGUGUGUGUGUGUGUAUUUAGUUAGUGUACAUUGAUAGAGAUUAGAUGCACAUUUGCCUCAACCCGUCUUCCUAAUUUUACCAUAACAGGGUUACCAAUUGUUUGAGCAAUAUUCUGGGCUUCUGGCUUAAGUUAAAAUGACCAAAUCAGUGUUAAUCAUAUAUCUCCUGGAUAUGCAGUGAAAAACCAAUACAAUAGAGACCAACCAAGUUUGCUAAAUCAAACUGAACAGGAGUUGGAAUGAGACCAUUUGUAGCAUUUGGGGAACCUCUAGAAAGAGCUUUAAGGUCAAUUAUAUGCAAGUAAAAAGUUAUAACUUAAGUACCGGCUCAAACCACUUCUCGUUUUCUUUGUGUUUUAUAUACAGGAGAUGUUGGUUCUCCACUCCUGAUACCAGCCUCACAGGUGUCUCCAAUUCACCAUGCUGGGAUCACAACGGAUGUCUCAGAUGCCGCAUGGAAGAACAAUCAGGGAUCUGGAUCCAUCAUGUAGCACUGCUGUAGCCAACUUGUAUCCUGGUAUUCAGCUUAGGGUGCAACGAUAGUACCUAUAACCCUUGAACAAUGGAAUGGUUGAAGGAGUGGCAGUGGGGUAUUUAUGGUGUGGGAGGGAUGAAAUAAUGAAGAGUGAAAAGGGUGUUUCUGAAUGAAGUUUUUUUCUGUGUAAUUUAUGAUUGUGUAGAUCCUAGCCAGAAUGUUAUGCUUGGGCAUCUUGCAUUUGGAAGUUGCAAAAUGCAAAGUUUGUUAUUCGAUAAAGGUGAAGAAUUACGACACGAAAGAUUAAUUCAAAGUUGAUGAGUUUGAAUACGAAAUUUAGUAAACAAGCAGUCGGUUUUGAAUCAAAACUGGAGAGUGUGUGUUGUGCUUAGAAGAGUGCUGGUUUGGUUGAAGAAUGGAGAAAGUGGCGAAUUUAAUUUGUGAGGAUGAACAGUGUUCUUGACUUCAAAAGUGGCCAAACAAAGAACUGAAGAGAUGGCAAAUGGGGAUCGGCCAUUAAUGGGUGCAGAAGAUUUUGUGUUAUAUUGCAGAAGCGAUUUCCAUACUGGGGUGCAAUAGGAGACUGGAGAGAAGCUUGCAUCGAGGCUUUCUCAUACUUUAUGGUUAAUGAAGAUGUUUUGGCAUACGGUGCUGCUUUUCAUCCAUCAUUCAUAACAAGAUGUCUUCUUGAAUCUGAAGUCAGACUAGAUAUAAAGAGACAAGUUCCAAUGAUGAAUUUUGAUCUUAAAGAUGGCAUGUAAAUUGUGUAAAUAUUGAAGCAAUUUUAGAAUUACUUGUCUGAA
Long non-coding RNA from Erigeron canadensis, 1798 nucleotides. RefSeq lists it as uncharacterized. The transcript has 2 exons. Lineage: Eukaryota; Viridiplantae; Streptophyta; Magnoliopsida; Asterales; Asteraceae. The record is from RefSeq and is a predicted model, not a curated record.